This 451-nucleotide ribosomal RNA is filed under the name uncultured bacterium. Its description in RNAcentral is "partial 16S ribosomal RNA". It matches the Rfam family "Bacterial small subunit ribosomal RNA", at positions 28 to 507 of the family's 1533-position model. The record is from RNAcentral.
GAUGAACGCUGGCGGCGUGCCUAACACAUGCAAGUCGAGCGGCAGCGAGGGGUGCUUGCACCCUGUCGGCGAGCGGCGGACGGCUGAGUAACGCGUGGGAACGUGCCCCAAAGUGAGGAAUAACUGCCCGAAAGGGUAGCUAAUACCGCAUAUUAUCUUCGGAUCAAAGGAUUUAUCCGCUUUGGGAGCGGCUCGCGUCGGAUUAGGUAGUUGGUGAGGUAAUGGCUCACCAAGCCGACGAUCCGUAGCUGGUCUGAGAGGAUGACCAGCCAGACUAGAACUGAGACACGGUCCAGACUCCCACGGGAGGCAGCAGUGAGGAAUCUUCCACAAUGGGCGAAAGCCUGAUGGAGCAACGCCGCGUGCAGGACGAAGGCCUUCGGGUUGUAAACUGCUUUUAUAAGUGAGGAAUAUGACGGUAACUUAUGAAUAAGGAUCGGCUAACUACGUG